Molecule: long non-coding RNA, 1153 nt
Organism: Aphis gossypii (cotton aphid)
Lineage: Eukaryota; Metazoa; Arthropoda; Insecta; Hemiptera; Aphididae
Exons: 7
Source: RefSeq, a predicted model, not a curated record
GGUUAAUCCAGGUACGCGGUGCGUAAGACCUGUUUGUAUGCGGUAGUAUAGUCGGUCGUCGAUCGCGUUCGUAUGAAUAUUCGAAUUACUUCUAUGUGUGCAGUGUACAACAAACCAAACUAGUUCGUAACGAGGAAGUGCAGGAUACGACAACGAGGAAGUAUACGAUUUGAGAAGCAGAGUUAAAGCUAAGAUUAAUGCAGUUUCAAUUGAAGAUAAUAUUUUAAUCAAAAUAUAAAGAUUAUAAUUUGUUCGAGAUCGGGCACACUACUCGACCGACUACUACAUUGGGGUAGCUGCCAGCUACACAGGUCAAUCGAUUUGAACUCAAUCGAAACGGAAUGCACGCGGUUCCUGUUGCAAUCAAACAAGACGGCGAGACGAUAAGAAUAUAUAAUAGACGCUCCUCACACACAGUACGGUCACGGCAAGAUGACUUUUCGAGCGUAAUCGUUAUGAUUCGAGAAUAUGGGAAUUGGGAAAUAACAAGCACCUAAGAAGCAAGUUUUCACAUUAGUUUAUCACGAUACUAUACAGUAAUAAUAGUAACGAUAAUAUUAAAAUUACAAAAUGUCCAUCACACCAAACGUCCAACUUUUGAGUGUGCGCCAUUCAACUAUUAUAGUAUUACAUACUCACAUAAAAAACAGAGCAUUAUAGAAUUUUCACUUGCUGACAUUCAAGAUAAGUGCACGCUUGUGCGUACAAUGAACGCAUAUAAAUACAUGCAGACCGACUGAUGCUGUAGUUUCGUCCAGUUUUUCCGGAGGAGUGAUCCGGUCACCAUAGCUGAAGUUUACAACACGAGCUAUUAUAAUAAUUUUAAACGGUAAAAUGGGAUGAAUUCAAGCACUGCGAACACAUCAUACGAGAUCCAAUAAAUGAACUACCAGUAGUAACGUAUCAUUGAAAACUAUCACACUUUCGUAGUCUGUUUAGUAUACUAUGUCGGCACGAUAACGAAAGCGGCGAAGCACCAUGUACGUAAUAUUCAGUUCAACCGAUGGUUGUUUACCGGCCAUUUUGCCAGAACGUGACCGUCGGGCAGCUGCAAUGACCCCGGAAGUGCUAGUCCAGCCCUCACAAUGCCGUUCUCCGCAGUCGGUAUUUCGUACAAUGUAAUAAUAUAAUAAAUCGCCGAGUGCGGUGGGGU